GAGAGAUGUGUAUGCUUGUCAGCAUUGCUAUGACUGCUUUGCCUGAGUGCUCAGGACAGGGUGUUUCAAAUAUUGCUUGGGCACUGUCAAAAAUUGGUGGUGAGCUUCUCUAUUUGACAGAAAUGGACAGAGUGGCAGAAGUAGCGUCAGCUAUGGUUGAGGAGUUCAAUUCACAAAAUGUUGCCAAUAUAGCCGGAGCCUUUGCGUCAAUGCAGCACUCUGCUCCAGAACUGUUUUCGGGGUUAGCAAGAAGGGCCUCGGAC
This 263-nucleotide unclassified non-coding RNA is filed under the name Hevea brasiliensis (rubber tree). Lineage: Eukaryota; Viridiplantae; Streptophyta; Magnoliopsida; Malpighiales; Euphorbiaceae. The record is from RNAcentral.